GCCUACAAAAUAACCUCUAGACGAUCUCCAAGGUACAUGCGCAUAAUCUCUUUCAACACUUUUUUUCUUUUAUUUUCUUGAGAUCUGACUUGAACAUCGAAGGAUCUCUGUCAGAACCAACUUCGAUCAGGACUUGCCUUGCAGGUCACAUCCUCAGAAAGGUGCACCAUCGCUCCAGCUACUCCUAUCGAGUUUCAGAUUUCAGCGGUAAUAAAUAUAUUUUAUAAAAUAAAUUAAGGAUUUUUCGAUAUUAUAUGAUUGAUGAUUUUGGAUUUCGAUAAAAUACUAAAUAGAUUACUUAUGGAUAC
RNAcentral lists this long non-coding RNA (308 nucleotides) under Elaeis guineensis (African oil palm). RNAcentral's name for it is "long non-coding RNA (EGUI_LNC022847)". Lineage: Eukaryota; Viridiplantae; Streptophyta; Magnoliopsida; Arecales; Arecaceae. The record is from RNAcentral.